This is a long non-coding RNA of Piliocolobus tephrosceles (Ugandan red Colobus), 909 nucleotides long. RefSeq lists it as uncharacterized. The record is from RefSeq and is a predicted model, not a curated record. NCBI's taxonomy places the organism in Eukaryota, Metazoa, Chordata, Mammalia, Primates, Cercopithecidae. The transcript is spliced from 2 exons.
UCACUGCUGGUGUCAACAACUAAUAACUAAGGGUGUCCGGAAUCCUUUGUCCCCACGUCUAGUGAGUCCAUGGAGCCCAGGGUAAUUAAGACGGUGCCUGUUACAGGAAUCAACUCCUAGAUACAUCACACUCAAGUCAAAACCUGGAAAGCUAAGGAAGCAACCCCUGACAGCCCAAAAAAUGUCCUAAAUAUCACUGUAAACAAAUCUUAAACUGAAAAUCAUAAAACAAUCAUGGCCAUUUCGUAAACAACUACCCAGAAACAUCUACAGACUGUGUUGCUCCUGCAGUCAAUUCAACAUCAAGAAACUCUCCUCCGCCCCCCAGCAGGAAGUAGCCAGAAAUACACAUCACCCUUUGUCCUUUUAUAACUAGGGUCUGGAAUUAUUGAACAGGAGCACCGUCAUCUCGGACAAACACCGCCACUUUAAAUUCCAGCUCCCUUUCUAGCCUUAUGCAUUUCGAGGAAAUCACUUCUCUUCUACUACAAGCAGCCAGAAAGAGCAGACAGUAAAACACAGAAAAGAUACCUCAGACACAGGGGCAGGUGGGGGAAGAGUCUCUUGGUAACUGCCAAACUUCACCCUCAUACAACGGGCCCCAGUAAAACAGUGGGCCUUAAUAAGUGAAUUCCUUUUCGUUCAGGUGCACUAAGAUAGGGAAGCUAAAAGCAGACUCCGGGGAUAUGCCUGCAGCUGCAGAAAGAUGUAUGGGAACAGGCACACAACUCUUCCUCCCACAUGAGCACAACAAAGAAACACAGAAGCAGUCCAAGCCUCUGAUCAACUCUCCCACUGUGAAUCCUUAAAAACUCUUAGUCUGUAAAGAGAGCAAACCUCUGACCUAACUCAGCCAGAAGGCACCUCUCAGAUUUGUUGUCUCUAAAAUAAAUCUGUCCAGACUGGCGA